ACUUAAUCUCCAAAUUUGAUCUCGGUAAAAGCGAAUAACGAACUCAAUCGGUAAAGGUUAUUUUAACUGAAAUAUCGUUAAAAUUUGACAGUUCGACGAAAAUAACUUGUCAAAAAUAACGAAAUUCGGUAAUUUACGUUCAUUACUGAUUAUCGGCAAACUAUUUUGCCACAGCAAUCGGCAAUCUAGCCAUGUUGCUGAAUUUCGGUAAAGCGCAUAUGUCAAAAAUGAAAACACGCGUUGCUGGGUGCCAUCUUCAGAAAAAGAUUCUUCACUUCCAUCGCUGGAAUGAUUUUCUCUUCGUUGUUUUGGAGAUGGAGCGCUGCAGGAGCUAGUGCAGGAGCAAUGCAAGAUUCUCGCAUCAAAGGCGCCUGUUUUUCUCUUGCUGCCGGAUUUAACCUGCAGAAGCCAACAUUGCAACAAACUAAAAGUUAAAUGGUCUCCACCGGAGAAAACUUCUCCUCGUAAGCAGCUGCCACAAAGGCCGCCCGUAAAAGUGUUCCCUCGACCGGCGGAGUGAAGUAGCCGCACAGCCGCAUCGUGGCCGGCAGGGAACGGUAGCUCUGCGAGCAAUCCGUCGCCACCAAAAGUUCACCGGGUUGCUGAUUCGUUAGUUGCCGUUCCUGCGCUUGAUGUGUGAAAUUGCGCAGGUAUUGAAGACGGAUCUGCGUUUACAAAGUGCUUCUGUCGAGUGCCCUGCAGCGCAGCGUACCUGAUCGGAUUGUUUGGGGACACCAUCUCUGCGCGAUCCAGGACAUCUAACUGGCCCGGUGCAUCCGCGACGAGCGUGCUCAAGGAGGAACAGGAGGAAGUGUGAAAAUUGUGUUUUUAAAACGAUAAAAAAGCCAAAAGGUUCAUCUCAGGACCAGUCAAUUUCCAUAAAAAAAAACGUUCCGAAGUAUGUAUUUUUUUCGCUAUAUGCUUGCGCGAAUAAAAUUGUUAACCUAAUCAUCA
Long non-coding RNA from Aedes albopictus (Asian tiger mosquito), 954 nucleotides. RefSeq lists it as uncharacterized. The record is from RefSeq and is a predicted model, not a curated record. The transcript is spliced from 2 exons. NCBI's taxonomy places the organism in Eukaryota, Metazoa, Arthropoda, Insecta, Diptera, Culicidae.